This 71-nucleotide transfer RNA is filed under the name Dendronephthya gigantea. RNAcentral's name for it is "tRNA-Gln". It matches the Rfam family "tRNA". Rfam says of the family: Transfer RNA (tRNA) molecules are approximately 80 nucleotides in length. Their secondary structure includes four short double-helical elements and three loops (D, anti-codon, and T loops). Further hydrogen bonds mediate the characteristic L-shaped molecular structure. tRNAs have two regions of fundamental functional importance: the anti-codon, which is responsible for specific mRNA codon recognition, and the 3' end, to which the tRNAs corresponding amino acid is attached (by aminoacyl-tRNA synthetases). tRNAs cope with the degeneracy of the genetic code in two manners: having more than one tRNA (with a specific anti-codon) for a particular amino acid; and 'wobble' base-pairing, i.e. permitting non-standard base-pairing at the 3rd anti-codon position. Lineage: Eukaryota; Metazoa; Cnidaria; Anthozoa; Malacalcyonacea; Nephtheidae. The record is from RNAcentral.
GGUUCUGUCGGUAAUGGUUAGCACUUUGGACUCUGAAUCCAACGAUCCGAGUUCAAAUCUCGGCAGGACCA